Molecule: long non-coding RNA, 270 nt
Filed under: Homo sapiens (human)
Lineage: Eukaryota; Metazoa; Chordata; Mammalia; Primates; Hominidae
Description: non-protein coding lnc-SLC5A9-1:1
Source: RNAcentral
CAGUGAGGACCAGAUGCUGGUUGAAGAGCUCCCCAGAGUCUUGUUGGGAUAACUGCAGUCUCUGCUUUCUGUAGAGGAUGUGACAAGGGUGAACACCAGUGUGGAGCCAGGAGAAGCCGUUCACCUGUGAAUGAUAACAGGGCCAGCACCAACUCCUACUGACUGAGCAUUUCUGUGUCAGACCAAGGGGUCUGUGCUUUACACACUCACUUCAUACCUCAAGAUGACUGUGUGAGCUUUAUUGAGGCAUAAUGAACAAAUAAAAAUUAU